UAUUUUUUAGUUGUUGAUGUACCAAUACCUUUCUGUUAUUUUUAUUUAUCUUUACACAGUGCUGAGGAUCAGACUCAGUGCCUCACACGUGCCAGGCCAAGUGCUGAGCCAUAAACCCGGCCUCUCAAAAUAAAUUUUUUUUUUAACAUUUAAAUUUUUUUUUUUAGGUGUAGAUGGACACAACACAAUGCCUUUAUUUGUAUGUGGUGCUGAGGAUCAAACCUGGGUCUUGCCCGUGCUAGGGAUUGAACCCGGGGAUUCUCUGCCACUGAACCACAUCCUCAGUUCUUUUUAGUUUGAUACAGAGUCUCCUAAGGCUAGCCUCUGUUGAGAGCCAUCCAUGGGCUAUGUGUGGACUACAUUGGCAUCUCAACCUAGUGAAUAUAAACAGCUGGUGUUUGGGAACUUCUCUUGGCAAUCCCACAGGGUGAGAUCACCAAAUACAUGUGAAUUUCUAUUCCGUUCUGCCUGGUUCCACACAGCACUGGAGAUGGGGUGAUAACCUAUCUGCUAUAACCAUCCAGGCACACAGCCUUCAGAGAUGGGUGUGAUCUGCCAAGAUGCCAAUCUACCUGCUGACUGCAAGAUACCAUGAAGCAAGACUCCACCCUUACAACCUUAUCUCUGCCUUUGAUGUAUCUCCUUAAAUAAACCAUUUUCUAAUUGUCCAA
This is a long non-coding RNA of Ictidomys tridecemlineatus (thirteen-lined ground squirrel), 671 nucleotides long. RefSeq lists it as uncharacterized. The record is from RefSeq and is a predicted model, not a curated record. NCBI's taxonomy places the organism in Eukaryota, Metazoa, Chordata, Mammalia, Rodentia, Sciuridae.